UACGGGGGGGGCAAGCGUUGUUCGGAAUUACUGGGCGUAAAGGGCUCGUAGGUGGCCAACUAAGUCAGACGUGAAAUCCCUCGGCUUAACCGGGGAACUGCGUCUGAUACUGGAUGGCUUGAGAUUGGGAGAGGGAUGCGGAAUUCCAGGUGUAGCGGUGAAAUGCGUAGAUAUCUGGAGGAACACCGGUGGCGAAGGCGGCAUCCUGGACCAACACUGACACUGAGGAGCGAAAGCUAGGGGAGCGAACGGG
Molecule: ribosomal RNA, 253 nt
Filed under: uncultured bacterium
Lineage: Bacteria
Description: partial 16S ribosomal RNA
Rfam family: Bacterial small subunit ribosomal RNA
Source: RNAcentral